RNAcentral lists this long non-coding RNA (816 nucleotides) under Chrysolophus pictus (golden pheasant). RNAcentral's name for it is "lncRNA (ENSCPIG00010011996.1)". The record is from RNAcentral. Lineage: Eukaryota; Metazoa; Chordata; Aves; Galliformes; Phasianidae.
GCCGCACAAAGGGAAGCAGUGCCGCAACUAUUUCCUGUGACUGCAGGAGAACCCGCCUGUUCCUCUGGGUAAUCAUGAGCUGCAGGCAGCCUGGAUUGCGUCAUUCCGGCAGAGCUGGGGACUUCUCAGCAUGGGGAAAUGGCAUCCAGUUCCUGUGGGCAUGCCCAGCUGGCCCAACUUGAAAGGAGCACCAGACACAGCUGAAAAGCAGCUCACGUGGUGGACCUAGCACAGGGUUUUCUCCCGGGAUUCCUCUACGGUAUGCCAUGUACUGCUGUGGGUGAGAUGUGGAGGCUGCUGGUGACAUGCUGACAUGUGAAUGCUAUGUGUCACUGGGAAAUGAAGAACUACCAGGUUAAAUCUGCUGUGAUGUUAUGUGGCAUCAGCUUCAUGAAGUCAAGGUGAUGCCCACUGAAGUAAAGAGGCUUUUACGGUUCCUGCCUUUCAGGAUCUUCCUGACAUCCAUGAAGCUGAGAGCUUUGCUCUUAAAAUGUAAAAGGAGAGUUGAGGGAAAGUCAAAUGUGCCUUUCUGAAUGCUGCCAACUGUUCGGCACGACUGCCUUUCCCUGUCCUCAGUGAGGAGCUGGAGACCCCUCAGAGCCCAGAUUGUCAGGACAGCCCAUGGAGACUUUAAGAUAUUCAAAAUGACUUGAAAAUUGCAGAAAACAAACAAACAAAAAAACCAAAACAAACCCAAACCAACCAACAAACAAACACAAAACAAAACAAAAAAAACAUACCCUAAGGGCUGGAAACACCACUGCCUUCAUUGCCCUUCCAAACACAAUGCCUAAAUAAACCUGAUCUUUCAAAGCA